RNAcentral lists this RNase P RNA (411 nucleotides) under bacterium. Its description in RNAcentral is "RNase P RNA component class A". It matches the Rfam family "Bacterial RNase P class A". Rfam says of the family: Ribonuclease P (RNase P) is a ubiquitous endoribonuclease, found in archaea, bacteria and eukarya as well as chloroplasts and mitochondria. Its best characterised activity is the generation of mature 5'-ends of tRNAs by cleaving the 5'-leader elements of precursor-tRNAs. The record is from RNAcentral.
UAAAGUAGUCGGAUAAUCGCACUUUUAAAAAAGUAGAUUAAAGUUUGAGGAUUUAUCUUUGGCUAAGUUUGCUUAGAAUAAAAAGUGAGGAAAGUCCGUGCAUACAAGGACAGAUCGCCGGAGAAACUCCGGACAGCGUGAGCUGGUGGAAAGUGGGACAGAAAUGAUGUCUGCCGAUGGAUUUUUAAUCACAGGCGAUGGUGCAACGGUGAGGUAAGAGCAUCACCAGCGAUAUCGAGAGGUAUCGGCUACCUAAACCCCGAUCGUAUGCAAGAUUAAAUCAAGCGUUUGAGGUGUCCGCCGAGCUUGGAAAAAUCGCUAGAGAUUAGGAGCAAUCCUAAUACCAGAUAGAUGAUUAUCAAGUAGCAUUUUGCGAAAAAACAGAACACGGCUUAUGAGCUACUUUAUUCU